AUUGUAACUCAAGAUUAUACUCCACACAAACCAAAACAGCACAAGAGAUAGAUGUACAACUUGUGAUUUAUCAUAUCAUCUACAAGGUUUGGACAAACAUCAUUCUCUGGCAAGCUUAAGCAUACUUGAUACUUGUGCUCUCUUUUUUUUUUUCUUUUUUUUUUUGAACAACUCUUGUGCUCUCUCUAUUACAGCAUCUUGUAACAAGAAGAUUGUCUAUCAUACCGUUACAAAAGGUAGAUUUUUUUAACUAAGAAACACACUCCAAAUGAAUACUACACUUGAUCUCACUUGAAAUGCUUAAAGAAGCUUCACAUUCUCAACAUAGUUGAGAUAGGUGUUUAAUCUCCUACCCUGAAGCGCCUCCAUUCCUUGGAUUCCAACUUUUCUGAUCGUCUUGCUCUCCACAUUGUAGUAGAUAACAUAGGAAGGCACGUACUGGAACCAGGGGGCCAAAACGAUUUCAUUUACACCAACCAUUCCAGCAAUACACAUUCUGUCCACAAUAACAUCCUUCCACAGUGGUGGUAAUACGUAAACAUGCUUGGACCACUCAUGUUUUGCAGCAUCUCGAAGAACCCACAGCUUAAAACGUUUACACGUUCGAAAAACAUAACAAGUAUCUUCCGACGACAUAAGCAAACCUAAUCUGUCAUUGUAGUUCACCAGGGUUGUUGACUGAGGCAGUGCUCGUUUCAAUCGCGAGAGAUUCACAAAGCUGAACUUCUCAGUCCCCAAAUCAAAACAAACUACCAUAGAUUCCCGUGAAGAAGACCUAGGUUCUGCAGCUAUAUAGUACAAAACGCCACUGAUGCAUAUCCCCUUACGAGAAGAGUAAUGCGGUAUGCUACAUUCGACCACCCUCCACGACAGUUUCUUGGUUCCUAAUGUCAGAACAUGGUGCUCCGUACCAUCAAACACAGAUAAUACCUUGAACACUUUCGCAACGGGGUCGUAUCCAAGAUAGUUUUCCACUCUAUACCUCUCUUUUGAGUUCAAUCUUGGUAAGGUCAAGGACUGUCCUGUGCUGGGGUUACAUACCACCGUGACAAUCACUGCUUUGUUCUUGCCCUGGUUAGCUCCAUAACAGAAGAAGCCAUUGGUACAACCAAAUAAGCCAUAGGAAGUUGGGAAACGCGCGAGGUGAUUGGCGGCUACAACAUGCGAGUUGUCUUCCGGAUUUUCAGGCUGAGACGACGAGAGGAAGUGAAUCUCGUGGCGGUAAUCAGAGCAGGCGAAAAGAAGCUGAGGGUGAGCGCAAGAUUGGGUCAAGAAGGAGUCUGUGAAAUCUUGGCUGCGGAGCACGGAGGACCAGAGCUUGCAUACGCAACGACAUGUCGCUAUAGACUUCAACGGCAGCCUCAAGAAUAUCUCUGUAACGACCUCGACAGGAAGCGUCAGUGAGUUUCGAUCAAGUCUGGUCGUCGAUCGCGUAACGCGCUGAGAAAUGCUUAGACCACCCUUCUGCCGCUUCAUAGCGAGAUACUUUUAGAACUUCUCUUACUACCCUGAAACAAAAUACAGUUAGCCACAGAUUCUACCAGAUAAACGAUCAAUGUCGAUUUUACAAAUUGCAGAAGAACGAACAUGAGGCACAUUAAUGUUUUCAGCAUUUCUUACCUCGAAUUCACUGGGAGACACUAGGUAAGAACAAUCGUAAAUCGUAGUUAGGGUUUAGAACUAUCCCCAAAAUCAUUUGUCGGGAAUGAUAAAAGAGAGUGAAGUAAUUUUAUAUGGGCCUUUUGUGGGCUUACACAAUAUUUAAAAUGAUGGGUUUACGAUGGGUCUGACCUGAAUUUUAUUAUAAACGUUAAAAACUACAAUGGUCUGGACAAACCAGUAACAUCCGCUGGCCAAAUAAACCGAAUCAGAAAACCCGAACCGAACUCGAUCCGGUAAAAAUAAAUCCGAACCGAUCCGAAGCCGACAUACCGAAAAAAUUUUGUUUUAUAGUAUUUCGGGUUAUGGGUAUUAUUCGAACCGAACCUGAAUUUAAAUGGAAAUAUCCGAUAGAACCUGAAAAAUUCAAAAUAAAAAAAAAAGUUUGUAUCAAACAUUCUCAAUUCCUAAUAUGUAUCUGAAAUAAAAUAAAAUAAAAUAUUAUUGAACAUCUAAAAUAGUUAUUUAUUACAUGAAGAUUGAUGGUUGAAGGUGUCGGUUGAAACUUGAAGGUUUUUAGAUUUUGGUUUUGUUUUCGAUGAAUAAUGUUUCUUAUUUUAUAUAUUUAUCUUUCGUUUGAUUUUGAAUGAUCAUAUUGGAUGUUCCUUUCUUAUUUUUGAAUCGAUUUUGCUUAUGUUUUAGUUACAAAAUAGGUACAAAACGGGUAUUAUAAAACCAAAUAACCGAUUUUACUUAUGUUUUUGGUUACAAAUAGAUACAAAUCAUGUAUUUUUAAACCGAAGAACCGAUUGGGACCUGAAUCCAAAUUCUUUGAAAAUUAACUAACCCCAACCCGAACUUGAACCCGUCCCAAACCAAACUUUCAUAUAACCCGAAUGAGACUGAUUUAGAUAAAUCUAAAAAACUAAGACCCGAUUAGACAAAACCGAAAUCCCAUUGGAACCCAAAUGCCCAUGUCUAAUUUGUCUCAUCUCAUGGAUCUAGAAAAUCAUUCUCUCUCUCUAUCACAGCACUGAAAGAUGACAUUCAAAAGCUUCUCAGUUUUGGAUUAAUAUUUAACUAUUUACAGCAUUUGUAACAAGAAGAUUGUCUCUCAUCCCCUGGUUGAAUCUUCUACAAGAGGUUGAUUUUCAAACUAAGACGCUAGAAAAAAAAAUGAAAACUACGUUUGAAAUGCUUAAAGAAACUUCACAUUCUCAACAUAGUUGAGGUAGGUGUUUAGCCUCUUACCCUGAAACGCCUCCAUUCCUUGGAUUCCAACUUCUCUGAUCGUCUUGCUCUUGACAUUGUAGUAGAUGACACAGGAAGACACUCUUUGGAAACAGGGGGUCAAAACAAUUUCAUCUACACCAACCAUUCCAGCAAUAUCCAAUCUAUCCUCAACUACACCCUUCCAAACUGGUGGUAAUACGUAAACAUGCCUGGACCACUCAUGUUUUGCAACGUCUCGAAGAACCCACAGCUCAAAUCUUUUACAUGAUCGAGUAACAUAAUAAUCUUCCGACGACAUAAGAAAACCUAAUCUGCCAUUGUAGUUUGUCAGAGUUGUUGAAGGAUAUCUAUUGAAACGCCUCAAGAGGUUCACAAAGCUGAACUUCUCAGUCCUCAAAUCAAAACAAACUACCAUAGAUUCCACCGAAUAUCUGAUUUCUUUAGCUAUAUAGUACAAAACGCCACUGAUGCAGAUCCACUUACCAGAAGAAUAAUGUCGUAUGCAACAUUCGACCAACCUCCACGACAGUUUCUUGGUUCCUAAUGUCAGAACAUGAAACUCCUUACCAUCAUCACAUGCAGACAACACCUUGAACUGUUUUGCAAUGGGGUCAUAUCCAAGAUAGCUUUCCGCUUCAACCCUGAUCCUCGUUUUCAAUCUUGGUAAGGUCAAGGACUGUCCUGUGCUGGGGUUACAUAUCACCGUGACAAUCCAUCGAUUAUUCCACCCCUUCAAGAUCCGUUCAGCCCCAUAACAGAAGAAGCCAUUGGUACAACCAAACAGUUUAUAGUAACGUGGGGAACGUGCAAUAUGAUUGGUGGCUACGACAUACGAGUUGUCUUCAAGAUUUUCAGGCUGAGGCGACGAGAAGAAGUGUAUCUCGCUGCGACCUUCGCAUGCAAAGAGAAGCUGAGGACGACGAGCACAAGAUUUGGUCAAGAACAGCUCUGUGAAAUCUUGACUGCGGAUCACGGAGGACCAGAGCUUGCAUACGCAAUGGCAUCUCGCUAUGGACUUCGACGGCAACCUCGAGAGUAUCUCUGUAACAACCUCAACAGGAAGCGUCAAUGAGUUACGAUCAAGCGUGGUCGUUGAUCGCGUAACGCGGCGAGAAAUGCUUAGACCACCCUUCAUGAAGGAGUAUGUUCCCUUACGGACGCUCUUUGAGAAAAGACAUUAAAAUUACAUUACUAACCUGAAACACAAACAUUCUAGAACCAACCAAAACUCCAAACAAAUGUUCGAUUGCAUCCAGAAACUAAAUACAGUUCUAGAACAUAGCCAGAGAUGAUGUCACAUUUACCAGAUGAACGAUCGAGAUGAAACAACAAUCUACCAAAACAACAAUUAUGUUUUCAGCAUUUCUUACCUCGAAUUCACUGUCACUAGGUUGAAUUUUUGGACUGGAUUUUGCAGAAGAACAAUCGUAAAUUGCAGUUAUGGUUUAGAACUAUCCCCAAAUCAUUGGUCGGGGAAGAUAAAAGAGAGUGCUGUAAUAAUAUAUAUUUAGCGGGUUUAGAAUAUCAAUUUAUACAAUGGGUUUGACCUGAACUUUAUUUUAAAAAAAGUCGAAUUGCUAUUUAAUUCUACUCAUUUUAUCGACAAGGACAAGAUAAAAAAAAGGAGCGACGUGUCUUAGUCGAAUCGGUGCUGGACCACCGUACCACCGCCGAGCAUCACCACGUAGCAUUCAAAGAUAACAUAAGCUUGUCUGUUUUUUAUGAGUAUUUACAUUUGUAAAGAGUUUGUAACAAUAAGAUUAACAUCCACAACAGGUGGGCUUUUUCAAACUAAGGUACUAGAAAAAAUAGGAAACACACAAAAUGAAAUAGGUGUUGAAAAUUUUAAACUGAUCUUCUUUAAUGGAUUAGACUAUACUUCUAUAUGUAAAACAAAUCAAUCUUAGCUGUAAAUUUUUAGUUUAUGGAUUUCUAUAUAAACUAAACUUAAAUAGGAGAUUUUAGCAUUAAAAUUCUUAAAAUUCAAUCAAAUAUGAUGUAAAAAUUAUAAUUUAAAUUUUCAAAAAUUAGCAUUUCAAACAAAUUACGCAGAUAAAUAAACUAUAUUUGCUUCAAAAUCUACACUACUAGUACUUAAAAUACAUUUUAGUUUUCUUUCUUCUAAAUUGCAUGCUUAUUAUAAAUUUAUAUAUGAUUCACAUAAUGUUGCAUUCAAACUGGUCUGUCUUGGACUUCACGGUUCAAACCUCGGAGUUGUAUGCUCUAAUGAAUCACAACAUCUUCAUUUCUUAAUAAUAAUCGUCCAUUCUGCGAGUUCUUUGAGUCGGCCUCUUUAGCUUUUGAUUAAGUUUGCACAUUUUUCCAAUUGUCAAGUACGAACGAUUAAACAAUUGGGAUCAUCUUGCUUCUUAAUAGUUAAAUCAUCAUCAUCAUCUAUAGCUUUUCCUUCAGCUUCUUAAUUUUGUACCUUUUCUCGAUGAUCUCUUACAAGUAUUGUCUUAUGAUAAGACACUCAGAGAUUGUAACUCAAGAUUAUACUCCACACAAACCAAAACAGCACAAGAAAUAUAGAUGUACAACUUGUGAAUUAUCAUAUCACCUACAAGGGUCUGGACAAACAUCAUUCUCUGGCAAGCUUAAGAAAACUUGUGCUCUCUCUAUUACAUCAUUUUGUAACAAGAAGAUUGUCUAUCAUACCCUUGUUGAAUCUUCUACAAAAGGUAGAUUUUUUUAACUAAGAAACACACUCCAAAUGAAUACUACACUUGAUCUCACUUGAAAUGCUUAAAGAAGCUUCACAUUCUCAACAUAGUUGAGAUAGGUGUUUAAUCUCCUACCCUGAAGCGCCUCCAUUCCUUGGAUUCCAACUUUUCUGAUCGUCUUGCUCUCCACAUUGUAGUAGAUAACAUAGGAAGGCACGUACUGGAACCAGGGGGCCAAAACGAUUUCAUUUACACCAACCAUUCCAGCAAUACACAUUCUGUCCACAAUAACAUCCUUCCACAGUG
This 5801-nucleotide long non-coding RNA is filed under the name Brassica rapa (field mustard). Its description in RNAcentral is "long non-coding RNA (BRAP_LNC003052)". Lineage: Eukaryota; Viridiplantae; Streptophyta; Magnoliopsida; Brassicales; Brassicaceae. The record is from RNAcentral.